GUUUUUUUAGUAUAAAAGUAUAGUUGGCUUCCAACCACCAGGUCUAAGUAUAAUCUUAGAAAAAACA
Molecule: transfer RNA, 67 nt
Filed under: Euphausia superba (Antarctic krill)
Lineage: Eukaryota; Metazoa; Arthropoda; Malacostraca; Euphausiacea; Euphausiidae
Description: tRNA-Gly
Source: RNAcentral